Onychostoma macrolepis is the source of this 1596-nucleotide long non-coding RNA. RefSeq lists it as uncharacterized. NCBI's taxonomy places the organism in Eukaryota, Metazoa, Chordata, Actinopteri, Cypriniformes, Cyprinidae. The transcript is spliced from 4 exons. The record is from RefSeq and is a predicted model, not a curated record.
ACUCUGCAGGAAAGUGGAUCUUGUGAGCCAAAUUUGAGUAUCACUGACGUAAACUGACACCAUUCACGUCACAUGCUCUAACCGACGCUUUCAGAAUAAUCCUUUCAACAUGGCAGAUACUCGCAACUUAUUGAAGGACUUGUUUGUGCUGAGUUCCACAUAUCACAGGAAACAACAAAAGCUAGCAAGACUUCAGAAACGUUGCGUGACAUUCUAAAUGUUUAUUAUCUUCAGGAUAUACACAAUGUUGGCCUUUGUGCUUCCCUGGUGUCCCAUGUGUGAACCAGCAGUACGUCGAGACUUGAAAUGUAGAGUUGUCUGGCGAGCCAGACAUCACAUACACUCCUGUCAUUGUUGUCAAUGAAAGCACUACAAGUCCUGCAAGCACUGCAGCUGUGAUUGAUGAUCUUCCGGUGUUUGACAUGUUCAGAAACACUUGUUCAAACAGUCUGUGUUUAAAAAAAUAAGAUAGAAUAAACAAAUCUUCAUACGUACAGCUGCCGUUGGUUUUUUUUAUUAUUAUGCUGAACUUCUGCAUGAUUAGCGUUAUGCAUACAGUAGGUGUAUUUUCUGAGGUAGUAUUUGUAUUCAACAGCAUCAAAAUAACUGAAAUUAAAAACAUUAUGUAUGGUAAACCGUUUGAAGUACUGUGCACUUACCAAAUAAAAUGUAAACACUAAGUUUUACUUAACUUUACUUUAUAAUUGUUUGCUUUAAAGUUUUUACUUAAAUGUUUUGAGGUAAUCAGUUUCAACAAAAGUUGAGUAUUCUAAACCAAUCAGGUUUUACAGUGCACAGUGAUUUAUAUUUGUCUGGGAAUAAAGAAACUUCUCAGUUGAGCUUCAGUGAGUCUAUGGAGUUAUGACACCAGUGGGGCCCAUUUCUAUGAUUUCACCAAAAAUCACUCAAAAAAAGGCUCCUAAUAUAAAAAAAAAAACUUAAACCACCCUACUAAUGAUGUAGCUUGUCCUUUUUACAAAGCAUCCACUCAAAACAGGUUUUCGGCCCAUUGCCUGAAAAACAACAAAAGACCUGUAAUUACUUGCCAUCUAGCAGAUACUUUUCAUCAUAGGUGUCUUACAGUACACUAAUUACAGACACGGCCCCUAAAGCAACUUGUAACAGGGCCCCCAUGAAAAUUCACGGGGCGGUACAACAUUUACAUGGGUGGGCCUCCCUCAUUACUGAGCCUGAGACAGCAUUCCCGAUUAUCCCCCCUGGGGAUGGUUCUGCUUGGUUGAUCAUGAAUACAAUGAUGAUGGAAGAUGAUUUAUCUCAGUGUAGUGUUAUUUUAGCUUAGUAACCCGUUUAGCAUUACCAACAGAACUCUAGAACUGUUUAGCUUUUAGAAGUCAUUAAAUCAAAGUAAAAAAUAAACAACGGGACACUAAAACGAACAGUGAGAAAAAUGCUACCAGAACUGAGUAAAGCUGAAUUAUGAUUGUCAUUACCCUGCUCAGAGUUUGCCACGUUAGUGAGAUAUUUCAUGUGGAUGUGCUAGGCUUCCGUCAGGAAGAAAACAAUGACCCCCUUUACCACUUAAAACCUCAAGAGUUAGUUUACUGAAUGAGUGACAAACAUGCUGGAAGGAACCAU